Molecule: ribosomal RNA, 624 nt
Filed under: uncultured fungus
Lineage: Eukaryota; Fungi
Description: eukaryotic LSU rRNA
Rfam family: 5.8S ribosomal RNA (bases 259-412)
Source: RNAcentral
AAGUCGUAACAAGGUUUCCGUAGGUGAACCUGCGGAAGGAUCAAUAACGAGAUCUGGGUUCCAUCCGAUUUUUCGAAAUUGGACCAAAUGGGCCCGAACUCCCAACCCUUUGAUAACCAUCCUUUGUUGCCUCGGUGGAUCGUCAAGUAUGACCGUCGGGAAAGCCUUCCCUUCGAGUAUCCGCCGAUGGGUCUUUUAAAAAUUCUUUUUAAAUAAGUAGUAUAACAACGCUAAAUCGUUAUUAUAAAUUAAAACAAAAACUUUCAACAACGGAUCUCUUGGUUCUGGCAUCGAUGAAGAACGCAGCGAAAUGCGAUAAGUAAUGUGAAUUGCAGAAUUUAGUGAAUCAUCGAAUCUUUGAACGCACAUUGCGCCCUCCGGUAGCCCGGGGGGCAUGCCUGUCCGAGCGUCAUUUUAGACCAUCAAGCAAAGCUUGGUGUUGGGCUCCUUCGCCCCUCUUUUUAGGGGGCGGGCCCUAAAUCAGUCGGCGACACGGUCGAGCCCCAAGCGUAGUAGAUACUCUCCCCGCUUUAGGUGGCCAUCGACACGCGUCUGCCACUAGACGCUUCGGCAAACAUUUUCGAGGUUGACCUCGGAUCAGGCAAGGGUACCCGCUGAACUUAA